Molecule: ribosomal RNA, 1258 nt
Filed under: uncultured bacterium
Lineage: Bacteria
Description: bacterial SSU rRNA
Rfam family: Bacterial small subunit ribosomal RNA
Source: RNAcentral
CGCCAUUGGAUGAGCCCGCACUUGAUUAGCUAGUUGGUAAGGUAAUAGCUUACCAAGGCUACGAUCAAUAGCUGAUCUGAGAGGAUGAUCAGCCACAUUGGGACUGAGACACGGCCCAAACUCCUACGGGAGGCAGCAGUAGGGAAUCUUGCACAAUGGGGGAAACCCUGAUGCAGCGAUGCCGCGUGAGUGAAGAAGGCCUUUGGGUUGCAAAACUCUUUCGUCGGGGAAGAAAAUGACUGUACCCGAAUAAGAAGGUCCGGCUAACUUCGUGCCAGCAGCCGCGGUAAUACGAAGGGACCUAGCGUAGUUCGGAAUUACUGGGCUUAAAGAGCUCGUAGGUUGUUAGAAAAGUUGGUGGUGAAAUCCCAAGGCUUAACCUUGGAACUGCCAUCAAAACUUUUUAACUAGAGUGUGAUAGAGGGAAGCGGAAUUUCUAGUGUAGAGGUGAAAUUCGUAGAUAUUAGAAAGAACACCAAUUGCGAAGGCAGCUUUCUGGAUCAUUACUGACACUGAGGUGCGAAAGCAUGGGUAGCGAAGAGGAUUAGAUACCCUCGUAGUCCAUGCUGUAAACGAUGUGUGUUAGACGUUGGAAAUUUAAUUUUCAGUGUCGCAGCGAAAGCGUUAAACACACCGCCUGGGGAGUACGACCGCAAGGUUAAAACUCAAAUGAAUUGACGGGGACCCGCACAAGUAGUGGAGCAUGUGGUUUAAUUCGAAGAUACGCGCAGAACCUUACCAACACUUGACAUGUUCGUCGCGAGACCAAGAGAUUGGUUUCUUAAUUUAGUUGGACGAAACACAGGUGCUGCAUGGCUGUCGUCAGCUCGUGUCGUGAGAUGUUGGGUUAAGUCCCGCAACGAGCGCAACCCUCACUUUUAGUUGCCACCAUUUAGUUGGGCACUCUGAAAGAACUGCCAGUGAUAAGCUGGAGGAAGGUGGGGAUGACGUCAAGUCCUCAUGGCCCUUACGUGUUGGGCUACACACGUGCUACAAUGGCAUUUACAACAGGAAGCAAAACGGCGACGUUAAGCAAAUCCUAAAAAAAUGCCUCAGUUCGGAUUGUACUCUGCAACUCGAGUACAUGAAGCUGGAAUUACUAGUAAUCGCGGAUCAGCGCGCCGCGGUGAAUACGUUCCCGGGUCUUGUACACACCGCCCGUCACACCAUGGGAGUUGGUUCUACCUUAAGGCAAAGGUUAAAAACUUUGACCACGGUAUAGUCAGCGACUGGGGUGAAGUCGUAACAAGGUAGCCGA